This 408-nucleotide ribosomal RNA is filed under the name uncultured Enterobacter sp. Its description in RNAcentral is "bacterial SSU rRNA". It matches the Rfam family "Bacterial small subunit ribosomal RNA", at positions 987 to 1392 of the family's 1533-position model. Lineage: Bacteria; Pseudomonadati; Pseudomonadota; Gammaproteobacteria; Enterobacterales; Enterobacteriaceae. The record is from RNAcentral.
UUUUCACCAGAAGGUACUAGGCGCUGUUGGUGCCUUCGAGGAAGUGUGAGACAGGUGCUGCAUGGCUGUCGUCAGCUCGUGUUGUGAAAUGUUGGGUUAAGUCCCGCAACGAGCGCAACCCUUAUCCUUUGUUGCCAGCGGUCCGGCCGGGAACUCAAAGGAGACUGCCAGUGAUAAACUGGAGGAAGGUGGGGAUGACGUCAAGUCAUCAUGGCCCUUACGACCAGGGCUACACACGUGCUACAAUGGCGCAUACAAAGAGAAGCGACCUCGCGAGAGCAAGCGGACCUCAUAAAGUGCGUCGUAGUCCGGAUUGGAGUCUGCAACUCGACUCCAUGAAGUCGGAAUCGCUAGUAAUCGUGGAUCAGAAUGCCACGGUGAAUACGUUCCCGGGUCUUGUACACACCG